This 301-nucleotide small nuclear RNA is filed under the name Octodon degus (degu). RNAcentral describes it as "7SK RNA (ENSODEG00000022732.1)". It matches the Rfam family "7SK RNA". From Rfam's summary of the family: 7SK was discovered as an abundant small nuclear RNA in the mid-70s but a possible function has only recently been suggested. Two independent studies have found that 7SK RNA binds the CDK9/cyclin T complex (known as elongation factor P-TEFb). The record is from Rfam by way of RNAcentral. Lineage: Eukaryota; Metazoa; Chordata; Mammalia; Rodentia; Octodontidae.
GGAUGUGAGGGGCUCUUUGGCUCUGCCAUCCCUUUGACCACCUGGGAUGAUUCGGCUGAUCUGGAUGACAAGGCGGGCAUCCUCUUCCUCUCUCCUGUCCCAAUAUGCAUCAUGUGCAAAUUUGCAAGCAGUCCAUUAAGCCAAAGAAGACAAUUACCUCCAAUGGAGUAGGACUGUUUCCUCAGUCUCAGCUGCUCUUCCCAGCUAGAAUCUUCAAACAAGUUCUCAAAGUGUUACCUCAAGGACUGGUACUUCCCAGGGCCUCAGGACUACAUUUCCUAUGUCAGUUGCAUAAGAUACU